Molecule: long non-coding RNA, 619 nt
Filed under: Phoenix dactylifera (date palm)
Lineage: Eukaryota; Viridiplantae; Streptophyta; Magnoliopsida; Arecales; Arecaceae
Description: long non-coding RNA (PDAC_LNC020174)
Source: RNAcentral
GGUCUGAACCGGUCUAAACCGGUACACCUGCCAGUACCAGUACGGCGUACUUUGCUUAAGGGUGAAUUGAAGUUCACCAAAAUUCACCAUUGAUUUUAUCUCUGAAUUGCAAAGACAUCAAAUUUCUUUCUAGCAGGAGAUAAGUUGCAUUGCAUUAGUGUGCAAUGUUUGUAAAUCUCAUUUGCUAAAGAUAUUUCUGACAUAAGUUGCUUUUUGUUGGCAAAAGUAGCUUACCUCAAUGAAACUUGACUUUACAUUUUUAACCUGCCCGAAAGAUUUAUGGUACUUUGCUACUAUUUAAUAGCGACUGUUCUUGCAAAGUUUACCAAGUCUGAUAGCUGAAAAUUAGGACACUUUGAUGGUACCAUGAUUAUAAAAAGAAAAGCGAUGCAUGAUGAUUAUGAUUUAAUUGGAAACCUAAUGCAGCUAGUAGAGUGAAUCAAAUGAAUUGUUUGGAUUUGGAAACUUGGACUAGAUAAGCAUAUGUUGUGAAUAAACAGAUCUACUUUGCUGGUCAUCUUUAAAUUUUAGCAUUUAUAGUUCAAUUUUAUUUUCUUUAAAUCAUUAAAAAAUAAUAAUCGCUAAAAUUAACAUCUCUUACUCUAGCAGCAAAUUUACU